RNAcentral lists this ribosomal RNA (253 nucleotides) under uncultured bacterium. Its description in RNAcentral is "partial 16S ribosomal RNA". It matches the Rfam family "Bacterial small subunit ribosomal RNA", at positions 524 to 776 of the family's 1533-position model. The record is from RNAcentral.
UACAGAGGGUGCAAGCGUUAGUCGGAAUUACUGGGCGUAAAGCGCGCGUAGGUGGUUCGUUAAGUUGGAUGUGAAAUCCCCGGGCUCAACCUGGGAACUGCAUCCAAAACUGGCGAGCUAGAGUAGGGCAGAGGGUGGUGGAAUUUCCUGUGUAGCGGUGAAAUGCGUAGAUAUAGGAAGGAACACCAGUGGCGAAGGCGACCACCUGGGCUCAUACUGACACUGAGGUGCGAAAGCGUGGGGAGCAAACAGG